AGUUGAUCCAAUACCCUCUUCGGGCCUUCUCAGGGGAUCCAAGUUCCAUCCCCAGCAUCCACUUCUGGCUGUGAAGUAGAGCACAUGACUGACUUGAAGCUUCUAGCAACCUACAUGCAUGUAACAUACAGACACACACACGCACACACACAAAUCACACAAUAAUAAAUAUAUUUUUUGAAAGAA
Molecule: long non-coding RNA, 186 nt
Organism: Grammomys surdaster
Lineage: Eukaryota; Metazoa; Chordata; Mammalia; Rodentia; Muridae
Exons: 2
Source: RefSeq, a predicted model, not a curated record